GAUGAAUGCUGGCGGCGCGCCUAACACAUGCAAGUCGAGCGGUAACAUGGACUUCGGUCUGAUGACGAGCGGCGGACGGCUGAGUAACGCGUGGGAACAUGCCCCAAAGUGAGGAAUAACUGCCCGAAAGGGUGGCUAAUGCCGCAUAUGAUCUUCGGAUUAAAGGAUUUAUCCGCUUUGGGAGUGGCCUGCGUACGAUUAGGUAGUUGGUGAGGUAAUGGCUCACCAAGCCUACGAUCGCUAACUGGUCUGAGAGGAUGAUCAGUCAGACUGGAACUGAGACACGGUCCAGACUCCUACGGGAGGCAGCAGUGAGGAAUCUUCCACAAUGGGCGAAAGCCUGAUGGAGCGACGCCGCGUGCAGGAUGAAGGCCUUCGGGUUGUAAACUGCUUUUAUAAGUGAAGGAUAUGACGGUAACUUAUGAAUAAGCACCGGCUAACUACGUGCCAGCAGCCGCCGUAA
This 463-nucleotide ribosomal RNA is filed under the name uncultured bacterium. RNAcentral's name for it is "partial 16S ribosomal RNA". It matches the Rfam family "Bacterial small subunit ribosomal RNA", at positions 28 to 523 of the family's 1533-position model. The record is from RNAcentral.